AAAAGCUCGUAGUUGAACCUUGGGCCUGGCUGGCCGGUCCGCCUCACCGCGUGUACUGGUCCGGCCGGGCCUUUCCUUCUGGGGAACCUCAUGCCCUUCACUGGGCGUGUUGGGGAACCAGGACUUUUACUUUGAAAAAAUUAGAGUGUUCAAAGCAGGCCUUUGCUCGAAUACAUUAGCAUGGAAUAAUAGAAUAGGACGUGUGGUUCUAUUUUGUUGGUUUCUAGGACCGCCGUAAUGAUUAAUAGGGAUAGUCGGGGGCAUCAGUAUUCAAUCGUCAGAGGUGAAAUUCUUGGAUUGAUUGAAGACUAACUACUGCGAAAGCAUUUGCCAAGGAUGUUUUCAUUAAUCAGUGAACGAAAGUUAGGGGAUCGAAGACGAUCAGAUACCGUCGUAGUCUUAACCAUAAACUAUGCCGACUAGGGAUCGGACGGUGUUAGUACUUUGACCCGUUCGGCACCUUACGAGAAAUCAAAGUUUUCGGGUUCUGGGGGGAGUAUGGUCGCAAGGCUGAAACUUCAAGAAAUUGACGGAAGGGCACCACCAGGCGUGGAGCCUGCGGCUUUAAUUGACUCAACACGGGGAAACUCACCAGGUCCAGACACAAUAAGGAUUGACAGAUUGAGAGCUCUUUCUUGAUUUUGUGGGUGGUGGUGCAUGGCCGUUCUUAGUUGGUGGAGUGAUUUGUCUGCUUAAUUGCGAUAAUAACGAGACCUUAACCUGCUAAAUAGCCAGG
This 736-nucleotide ribosomal RNA is filed under the name uncultured eukaryote. RNAcentral's name for it is "SSU rRNA". It matches the Rfam family "Eukaryotic small subunit ribosomal RNA", at positions 622 to 1363 of the family's 1831-position model. The record is from RNAcentral.